RNAcentral lists this ribosomal RNA (278 nucleotides) under uncultured bacterium. Its description in RNAcentral is "partial 16S ribosomal RNA". It matches the Rfam family "Bacterial small subunit ribosomal RNA", at positions 334 to 608 of the family's 1533-position model. The record is from RNAcentral.
GUUUCCUACGGGACGCAGCAGUGGGGGAUAUUGCACAAUGGGGGGAACCCUGAUGCAGCGACGCCGCGUGAGGGAAGACGGUCCUAUGGAUUGUAAACCUCUUUAGGCGGGGAGCAAUGCCGGGCACGCGUGCCCGGAGGGAGAGUACCCGCAGAAUAAGCAUCGGCUAACUCCGUGCCAGCAGCCGCGGUAAUACGGAGGAUGCGAGCGUUAUCCGGAUUUAUUGGGUUUAAAGGGUGCGUAGGCGGAUUUUUAAGUCAGCGGUAAAAUGUCCGGGC